RNAcentral lists this ribosomal RNA (256 nucleotides) under uncultured bacterium. Its description in RNAcentral is "partial 16S ribosomal RNA". It matches the Rfam family "Bacterial small subunit ribosomal RNA", at positions 15 to 252 of the family's 1533-position model. The record is from RNAcentral.
GAUCCUGGCUCAGGAUGAACGCUAGCUACAGGCUUAACACAUGCAAGUCGAGGGGCAGCAUGGACCCAGCUUUGCUGGGUUUGAUGGCGACCGGCGCACGGGUGAGUAACGCGUAUCCAACCUGCCCUUUACUCCGGGAUAGUCUCCUGAAAGGGAGUUUAAUACCGGAUGUGUUUGUCUUUCCGCAUGGGAGGCGACAAAUAAAAGAAUUAAUUGGUUAAAGGAAGUGGGGAGUGCGUCCCACUUAGCUUGUUGG